Molecule: transfer RNA, 72 nt
Filed under: Camelus bactrianus (Bactrian camel)
Lineage: Eukaryota; Metazoa; Chordata; Mammalia; Artiodactyla; Camelidae
Also listed under: 2 other names
Rfam family: tRNA
About the family: Transfer RNA (tRNA) molecules are approximately 80 nucleotides in length. Their secondary structure includes four short double-helical elements and three loops (D, anti-codon, and T loops). Further hydrogen bonds mediate the characteristic L-shaped molecular structure. tRNAs have two regions of fundamental functional importance: the anti-codon, which is responsible for specific mRNA codon recognition, and the 3' end, to which the tRNAs corresponding amino acid is attached (by aminoacyl-tRNA synthetases). tRNAs cope with the degeneracy of the genetic code in two manners: having more than one tRNA (with a specific anti-codon) for a particular amino acid; and 'wobble' base-pairing, i.e. permitting non-standard base-pairing at the 3rd anti-codon position.
Source: Rfam by way of RNAcentral
GAGGGUAUAGCUCAGUGGUAGACUGCAUGCUUAGCAUGCAUGAGGUCCUGGGUUCACUCUCCAGUAUUUCCA